GACGUAGGGCGCGAGCGUUGUCCGGAUUUAUUGGGCGUAAAGAGCUCGUAGGCGGUUCGGUAAGCCGGAUGUGAAAUCUCCACGCUCAACGUGGAGGGGCCAUUCGAUACUGCCGUGACUCGAGUCCGGUAGGGGAGUGUGGAAUUCCCGGUGUAGCGGUGAAAUGCGCAGAGAUCGGGAGGAACACCCGUAGCGAAGGCGGCACUCUGGGCCGGUACUGACGCUGAGGAGCGAAAGCGUGGGGAGCGAACAGG
This 254-nucleotide ribosomal RNA is filed under the name uncultured bacterium. RNAcentral's name for it is "partial 16S ribosomal RNA". It matches the Rfam family "Bacterial small subunit ribosomal RNA", at positions 524 to 776 of the family's 1533-position model. The record is from RNAcentral.